AUGAAUGCUAUGAGUUGGAACUGCCGAGGGCUUGGGAAUCCUGCGACAGUUCGUGAGCUUCGCAAGUUGGUGAAGCAAGAAGGCCCCACCCUGUUAUUCGUCAUGGAAAUGAAGAUCAGGGGGUAACGAGUAGAAGAUCUGAAAACUACUUUAGGAUUUCAUGGUUGUUUUGCCGUCGAUAGUGACGGGCUUAGUGGAGGUAUCGGUCUUUUUUGUUCAAAGGAGGUCGAUGUUAGUUUGGAGAAUUACAGUAAAUCUCAUAUUGAUGUGAAGGUCACUCAGAAUGAUAAAAGUUGGCAUUUCACUGGUUUUUACGGUGAGCUUCGUGUGGAGAAUCGACACCACAGCUGGCGGUUCCUCCGUACUCUUUUCGCUAUCCAGCAUGGGGUGUGGUUGUGUAUGGGGGAUUUUAACAAAACCUUGCAUGUGGAUGAACACUUUAGUGUGAAUGCAAGAUCGGAAGGACAAAUGCGCGCUUUCCGUGAUGCAAUUUCAGAUUGCGCACUCCAGGAUCUGGGGUGGCGCGGCGUACCCUUCACAUUGGAUAACGAACAGCAAGGCAGCUCGAAUGUUAAAGCACGGGUUCAUAGAGCUUUCGCCAACGCCGACUUCCUUCAGCUGUUUGAGCUCACCAAUGUUAAACAUGUGAGCAGCAUAGAGUCGGAUCACUGCUUUGUUCUGGCUGAAUGUCGUCCUUAG
Molecule: ribosomal RNA, 699 nt
Filed under: Triticum aestivum (bread wheat)
Lineage: Eukaryota; Viridiplantae; Streptophyta; Magnoliopsida; Poales; Poaceae
Description: partial small subunit ribosomal RNA
Source: RNAcentral